RNAcentral lists this ribosomal RNA (504 nucleotides) under uncultured bacterium. Its description in RNAcentral is "bacterial SSU rRNA". It matches the Rfam family "Bacterial small subunit ribosomal RNA", at positions 21 to 507 of the family's 1533-position model. The record is from RNAcentral.
GGCUCAGAGUGAACGCUGGCGGCAGGCCUAACACAUGCAAGUCGAGCGGCAGCGCGUCCGACCACCCUCGGGUGGUCGGAUGGCGGCGAGCGGCGGACGGGUGAGGAAUGCAUCGGAAUCUGCCUCGUUGUGGGGGAUAACGUAGGGAAACUUACGCUAAUACCGCAUACGACCUACGGGUGAAAGUGGGGGACCUUCGGGCCUCACGCGAUGAGAUGAGCCGAUGCCGGAUUAGCUAGUUGGCGGGUAAAGGCCCACCAAGGCGACGAUCCGUAGCUGGUCUGAGAGAAUGAUCAGCCACACUGGAACUGAGACACGGUCCAGACUCCUACGGGAGGCAGCAGUGGGGAAUAUUGGACAAUGGGGGCAACCCUGAUCCAGCCAUGCCGCGUGUGUGAAGAAGGCCUUCGGGUUGUAAAGCACUUUUGUUGGGGAAGAAACCGGCCGGGUUAAUACCCUGGUUGAAUGACGGUACCCAAAGAAUAAGCACCGGCUAACUUCGUG